GAUGAACGCUAGCGGCAGGCCUAACACAUGCAAGUCGAGGGAGAAGCCCUUUCGGGGGCAGAAACCGGCGCACGGGUGCGUAACGCGUAUGCAACCUACCUUUCACAGGGGGAUAGCCCGAAGAAAUUUGGAUUAAUACCCCAUAAUAUUAUUGGAUGGCAUCAUUUGAUAAUUAAAACUGCGGUGGUGAAAGAUGGGCAUGCGUCCUAUUAGCUAGUUGGAGUGGUAACGGCACCCCAAGGCUACGAUAGGUAGGGGUCCUGAGAGGGAGAUCCCCCACACUGGUACUGAGGCAGGGACCAGACUCCUACGGGAGGCAGCAGUGAGGAAUAUUGGUCAAUGGUCGGAAGACUGAACCAGCCAUGCCGCGUGCAGGAAGAAUGCCUUAUGGGUUGUAAACUGCUUUUAUAUGGGAAGAAUAAGGCGUACGUGUACGUUGAUGACGGUACCAUAUGAAUAAGCAUCGGCUAACUCCGUG
Molecule: ribosomal RNA, 478 nt
Filed under: uncultured bacterium
Lineage: Bacteria
Description: partial 16S ribosomal RNA
Rfam family: Bacterial small subunit ribosomal RNA
Source: RNAcentral